GGAUGUGAGGGCGAUCUGGCUGUGACAUCUGUCAUUCCAUUGAUCGCCAGGGUCAAUUCGGCUGAUCUGGCUGUUUAGCUGGGUGUCCCCUUUCUCCCUCACCUUCCAAUGUGCAUCGCUCCUGAAGCUGUGCACUAGGUCAAGAGGAUGACCACCCCUAAUAAAAGAGGACCGUUUCCUCUGACAAGGGUACAGAAC
This 198-nucleotide small nuclear RNA is filed under the name Heterocephalus glaber (naked mole-rat). Its description in RNAcentral is "7SK RNA". It matches the Rfam family "7SK RNA", at positions 1 to 198 of the family's 331-position model. Rfam says of the family: 7SK was discovered as an abundant small nuclear RNA in the mid-70s but a possible function has only recently been suggested. Two independent studies have found that 7SK RNA binds the CDK9/cyclin T complex (known as elongation factor P-TEFb). P-TEFb activates transcription by phosphorylating the C-terminal domain of RNA polymerase II. The record is from Rfam by way of RNAcentral. Lineage: Eukaryota; Metazoa; Chordata; Mammalia; Rodentia; Bathyergidae.